AAGAUAGCUUGCUAUUUUUAUGAAGAGCGGCGAACGGGUGAGUAACGCGUGGGAAAUCUGCCGAGUAGCGGGGGACAACGUUUGGAAACGAACGCUAAUACCGCAUAACAAUGAGAAUCGCAUGAUUCUUAUUUGAAAGAAGCAAUUGCUUCACUACUUGAUGAUCCCGCGUUGUAUUAGCUAGUUGGUAGUGUAAAGGACUACCAAGGCGAUGAUACAUAGCCGACCUGAGAGGGUGAUCGGCCACACUGGGACUGAGACACGGCCCAGACUCCUACGGGAGGCAGCAGUAGGGAAUCUUCGGCAAUGGGGGCAACCCUGACCGAGCAACGCCGCGUGAGUGAAGAAGGUUUUCGGAUCGUAAAACUCUGUUGUUAGAGAAGAACGUUAAGUAGAGUGGAAAAUUACUUAAAUGACGGUAUCUAACCAGAAAGGGACGGCUAACUACGUGCCAGCAGCCGCGGUAAUACGUAGGUCCCAAGCGUUGUCCGGAUUUAUUGGGCGUAAAGCGAGCGCAGGCGGUUUCUUAAGUCUGAUGUGAAAGCCUUCGGCUCAACCGGAGAAGUGCAUCGGAAACUGGGAAACUUGAGUGCAGAAGAGGACAGUGGAACUCCAUGUGUAGCGGCGAAAUGCGUAGAUAUAUGGAAGAACACCAGUGGCGAAGGCGGCUGUCUGGUCUGUAACUGACGCUGAGCUCGAAAGCAUGGGUAGCAAACAGGAUUAGAUACCCUGGUAGUCCAUGCCGUAAAC
Molecule: ribosomal RNA, 750 nt
Filed under: uncultured bacterium
Lineage: Bacteria
Description: bacterial SSU rRNA
Rfam family: Bacterial small subunit ribosomal RNA
Source: RNAcentral